AUAAUAUGCAUUUCACCUUGUCUAAAUAAUGCAUUCUCCAUAUCUGUCUAUUGGAAAUCUUAACAUUGAUUUGAAUAAAACUGAAAUUUGUCGUUGCUCACAAUCCUUAUGAUGUAAGGAAAACUUGUAUGUGAUUAUGCUGGAAUAUACAUACAACAUCAUAUAUAUAUGGCAAGGAAAAACCCAGAAUAUGUAACAUUUCAAUACAGCUAUACAGCAAGCACAUAAGG
RNAcentral lists this long non-coding RNA (230 nucleotides) under Mytilus galloprovincialis (Mediterranean mussel). The record is from RNAcentral. Lineage: Eukaryota; Metazoa; Mollusca; Bivalvia; Mytilida; Mytilidae.